UUGGUCUCUCCCUCUUAAAUCCUCAUUAUUGGGAUUUCUGUUUACCUGAUGUUGCUCUUCAUGCCUUUAAUUUUGAUUGUAUUGGAAACAAUUGUACUAGGGUUUCGUCCUUUAAUGAAUUUAUUUGCAUAAAAAAAAAUAGAUUGAACAAAUCAAAAGAAAAACAAGAGGCGGAAUUAAGAGACAUGUGCAAGAGGUGAAAAAUCUUGUGUAGAAAUCACUACCCAAGAUGAGUGAUGUGUAAUGCUCUUAUUUUCCUAUUAGGCUACAUUUGGUAGGUAGAAAUUGUUGAUACAAAUUUCGUUCAAGGUAGAAUUGAC
RNAcentral lists this long non-coding RNA (320 nucleotides) under Malus domestica (apple). RNAcentral describes it as "long non-coding RNA (MDOM_LNC000517)". The record is from RNAcentral. Lineage: Eukaryota; Viridiplantae; Streptophyta; Magnoliopsida; Rosales; Rosaceae.